Molecule: ribosomal RNA, 497 nt
Filed under: uncultured bacterium
Lineage: Bacteria
Description: partial 16S ribosomal RNA
Rfam family: Bacterial small subunit ribosomal RNA
Source: RNAcentral
GAUGAACGCUGGCGGCGUGCCUAAUACAUGCAAGUCGAGCGAACGGACGAGAAGCUUGCUUCUCUGAUGUUAGCGGCGGACGGGUGAGUCACACGUGUAUAAUCUACCUAUAAUACUGGGAUAACUUCGGGAAACCGGCGCUAAUACCGGAUAAUAUUUUGCACCGCAUUGUUCAUAAGUGAAAUACGGUCUUGCUGUAUCUUAUAGAUGCAUCCGCGCUGUAUUAGCUAGUUGUUACGGUAACGGCUUACCAAGGCAACGAGGCAUAGACGACCUGAGAGGGGGAUAGGCCACACGGGAACUGAGACACGGACAAGACGCCUAAGGGAGGGAGCAGUAGGGUAUCGUCCGCAAUGGGCGAAAGUCUGACGGAGCAACGCCGAGUGAGUGAUGAAGGUCUUCGGAGCGGAAAAAUCUGUUAUUAGGGAAGAACAUAUGUGGAAGUAACUGUGCACAUCUUGACGGUAACUAAUCAGAAAGCCACGGCUAACUACGUG